CCUACGGGUGGCAGCAGUGGGGAAUAUUGGACAAUGGGGGGAACCCUGAUCCAGCCAUGCCGCGUGUGUGAAGAAGGCCCUCGGGUUGUAAAGCACUUUCAGUGAGGAAGAACGCCUGGUGGUUAAUACCCAUCAGGAAAGACAUCACUCACAGAAGAAGCACCGGCUAACUCCGUGCCAGCAGCCGCGGUAAUACGGAGGGUGCGAGCGUUAAUCGGAAUUACUGGGCGUAAAGCGCGCGUAGGUGGCUUGAUAAGCCGGUUGUGAAAGCCCCGGGCUCAACCUGGGAACGGCAUCCGGAACUGUCAAGCUAGAGUGUAGGAGAGGAAGGUAGAAUUCCCGGUGUAGCGGUGAAAUGCGUAGAGAUCGGGAGGAAUACCAGUGGCGAAGGCGGCCUUCUGGACUGACACUGACACUGAGGUGCGAAAGCGUGGGUAGCAAACAGGAUUAGAUACCCCGGUAGUC
Molecule: ribosomal RNA, 465 nt
Filed under: Vreelandella stevensii
Lineage: Bacteria; Pseudomonadati; Pseudomonadota; Gammaproteobacteria; Oceanospirillales; Halomonadaceae
Description: partial 16S ribosomal RNA
Rfam family: Bacterial small subunit ribosomal RNA
Source: RNAcentral